GCGCUCGGUAUUCCGGAAUCACUCGGCUAAUCCACGCAGGGUGAGGGUCACUGACACUCCCACCCUCCCCACCGACCACAGCCGAGGACCUGCGCGUCGCCGGUGUCCGCUCUCCGUCUUCCGGGAACUCGAGGUCUAAUCACAGCUGAAUGUAAUGACGCCGUACCCCAGAAGCCCAGCGACCACAUGCAGCCGUAAAAACGAUUUGUCUGAUGUGCCGGAGGAGCCGAGAGAAUAAUUACCCACAGGUCUCUCCGUCGCAGUGAGAGGCAGAGGUGCUCUGACGACAGAAAACGCCUGGAGGCUCAGGAGGCCGCCAAUCUGUUCGGUGAAACAUCGGCGUGAGUGAAAGGACGCCCUGGCCUUCAGAGGUGAAAUGAUCCCGACGCAGGUUUACCAGCCGUCGUCUUCUCCGGUCGGGAUGGUUCUGAAACCCAUGAAGACUGAGUGCAUGCACAAUCGCACCAGGGUCUGGCAGGUGACACGAAUAAGUUAAGUGGACGAAUGAAAUUGAAUUACACGACGAGAGGUCAUGCUCAACUUAAACCAGGGAAGCGUUGUGUACCAGCCCUCCCAUCUAGUCACCACAUUACUGCUCACAUGUAACCGUGGAUCCGGUAUGUGCUCCUUUUUUCCCCCCCCGGCAGCAAAGCAGACAUUUUGUCAAGGAUAUAAAUACCUUUUGAUGUGCAGCGUUAACACACUCACUCUCUUUGCCUUUUUUUCUUCUUCUCUGUUUUGUAAGACGCUUGUGUGGGCGAGGAACACAGCGGGGGCCAUUUCAGUCAGACAGAACUGCUUCAUCCGGCUCGACUCUGCGUGAUCCUCCUUCUUCUGUGUGGUGGUAGAAGCACGUUGCCCUUCUCCUCUGCCACUCUGAAAACCUGCCUGUCGGCCUGGAUACUGUGUUCUUUUUACCCUUGCCUUUGCCCAGGAUCAUCUACAUGCUCUCAAUGCUACGUCGGACCCUCUGUUGAAAGCCUGAUGGACGCUGGACCUGAAAUCUUCGGGCUUUGCAAAAGACACUAACGGAACAGUGGAUUAUCUCUUUGUCUGGACGUCCAAUGUUCCCGUUACUAAUUACAGCAUUGAACCUUUGAAAACCACUUUGUCUCUGCUCCUGUGUUCUGCCUGGGAGUCUGACAUUUUACAAAUCAUCAGUCCAUAUACUGGGGAGAGGGAUUUCAUUAUAUUUCUUCUUUUCCUGACUUUGCAUAGUAUACAUAUACACUGUUAUAUAUAUUUUAUUAAGGAGUAACCCUAUCUCUUAAUAUAUAAUUCAAAACUCCUUUGCCAAUGCCAUAGUUUCUUUAAAACAAGUGAUUAGAGCUGCAACAGUUAAUCAAUUACUAAAUGAAUCGCCAGCUAUUUUGA
Molecule: long non-coding RNA, 1374 nt
Organism: Scophthalmus maximus (turbot)
Lineage: Eukaryota; Metazoa; Chordata; Actinopteri; Pleuronectiformes; Scophthalmidae
Exons: 5
Source: RefSeq, a predicted model, not a curated record